This 207-nucleotide ribosomal RNA is filed under the name uncultured delta proteobacterium. RNAcentral describes it as "partial 16S ribosomal RNA". It matches the Rfam family "Bacterial small subunit ribosomal RNA", at positions 568 to 774 of the family's 1533-position model. Lineage: Bacteria; Deltaproteobacteria. The record is from RNAcentral.
CGUGUAGGCGGCUUUGCAAGUCGGGUGUGAAAUCCCUCAGCUCAACUGAGGAAGUGCGCCCGAAACUGCAUAGCUGGAGUACCGGAGAGGAUGGUGGAAUUCCCGAAGUAGAGGUGAAAUUCGUAGAUAUCGGGAGGAACACCGGUGGCGAAGGCGACCAUCUGGACGGAUACUGACGCUGAGACGCGAAAGCGUGGGUAGCAAACA